CUGCAGUCGANCGGAAACAUAUCUAGCUUGCUAGAUGAUGUCGAGUGGCGGACGGGUGAGUAAUGCUUGGGAACUUGCCUUUGCGAGGGGGAUAACAGUUGGAAACGACUGCUAAUACCGCAUAAUGUCUUCGGACCAAACGGGGCUUCGGCUCCGGCGCAAAGAGAGGCCCAAGUGAGAUUAGCUAGUUGGUGAGGUAAAGGCUCACCAAGGCAACGAUCUCUAGCUGUUCUGAGAGGAAGAUCAGCCACACUGGGACUGAGACACGGCCCAGACUCCUACGGGAGGCAGCAGUGGGGAAUAUUGCACAAUGGGGGAAACCCUGAUGCAGCCAUGCCGCGUGUGUGAAGAAGGCCUUCGGGUUGUAAAGCACUUUCAGUUGUGAGGAAAAGUUAGUAGUUAAUACCUGCUAGCCGUGACGUUAACAACAGAAGAAGCACCGGCUAACUCCGUGCCAGCAGCCGCGGUAAUACGGAGGGUGCGAGCGUUAAUCGGAAUUACUGGGCGUAAAGCGCACGCAGGCGGUUUGUUAAGCUAGAUGUGAAAGCCCCGGGCUCAACCUGGGACGGUCAUUUAGAACUGGCAGACUAGAGUCUUGGAGAGGGGAGUGGAAUUCCAGGUGUAGCGGUGAAAUGCGUAGAUAUCUGGAGGAACAUCAGUGGCGAAGGCGACUCCCUGGCCAAAGACUGACGCUCAUGUGCGAAAGUGUGGGUAGCGAACAGGAUUAGAUACCCUGGUAGUCCACACCGUAAACGCUGUCUACUAGCUGUUUGUGACUUUAAGUCGUGAGUAGCGAAGCUAACGCGAUAAGUAGACCGCCUGGGGAGUACGGCCGCAAGGUUAAAACUCAAAUGAAUUGACGGGGGCCCGCACAAGCGGUGGAGCAUGUGGUUUAAUUCGAUGCAACGCGAAGAACCUUACCUACACUUGACAUGUUGAGAA
This 942-nucleotide ribosomal RNA is filed under the name Alteromonas sp. RNAcentral's name for it is "bacterial SSU rRNA". It matches the Rfam family "Bacterial small subunit ribosomal RNA", at positions 55 to 995 of the family's 1533-position model. The record is from RNAcentral. Lineage: Bacteria; Pseudomonadati; Pseudomonadota; Gammaproteobacteria; Alteromonadales; Alteromonadaceae.